AGCGUAGGCGGAUAGUUUAGUCAGAGGUGAAAGCCCAGGGCUCAACCUUGGAAAUGCCUUUGAUACUGGCUAUCUUGAGUAUGGGAGAGGUAAGCGGAAUUCCGAGUGUAGAGGUGAAAUUCGUAUAUAUUCGGAAGAACACCGGUGGCGAAGGCGGCUUACUGGCCCAUUACUGACGCUGAGGCUCGAAAGCGUGGGGAGCAAACA
This 207-nucleotide ribosomal RNA is filed under the name uncultured bacterium. RNAcentral's name for it is "partial 16S ribosomal RNA". It matches the Rfam family "Bacterial small subunit ribosomal RNA", at positions 568 to 774 of the family's 1533-position model. The record is from RNAcentral.